AGUGAACGCUGGCGGUAGGCCUAACACAUGCAAGUCGAACGGCAGCACAGUAAGCGCUUGCUCUUACAGGUGGCGAGUGGCGGACGGGUGAGGAAUACAUCGGAAUCUACUUUUUCGUGGGGGAUAACGUAGGGAAACUUACGCUAAUACCGCAUACGACCUACGGGUGAAAGCAGGGGAUCUUCGGACCUUGCGCGAUUGAAUGAGCCGCUGUCGGAUUAGCUAGUUGGCGGGGGAAAGGCCCACCAAGGCGACGAUCCGUAGGUUGUCUGAGAGGAUGGUCAGCAGCACUGGAACUGAAACACCCACAUGACUCCUACGGGAAGCAGAAGUGGGGAAUAUUGGACAAUGAGCGAAAGACUGAUCCAGCCUUACCGCGUGAGUGAAGAAAGCCUUCGGGUAGUAAAACCCUUUUGUUGGGAAAGAAAACCGGCUGGUUAAUACUGCGAUGUGCUUACGGUACCCAAAAAAUAAGCACCGGCGAAAUCCAUG
This 492-nucleotide ribosomal RNA is filed under the name uncultured bacterium. Its description in RNAcentral is "partial 16S ribosomal RNA". It matches the Rfam family "Bacterial small subunit ribosomal RNA", at positions 29 to 507 of the family's 1533-position model. The record is from RNAcentral.